GUGCUUGCUUCAGCAGCACAUAUACGAAAAUUGGAAUGAUACAGAGAAAAUUAGCAUGGCCCCUGCGCAAGGAUGAUGUGCAAAUUCGUGAAGUAUUCCAUAUUAAA
This is a small nuclear RNA of Zalophus californianus (California sea lion), 107 nucleotides long. The record is from Ensembl. Lineage: Eukaryota; Metazoa; Chordata; Mammalia; Carnivora; Otariidae.